GACGAACGCUGGCGGCGUGCUUAACACAUGCAAGUCGAACGGAAAGGCCCUGCUUGCCGGGUACUCGAGUGGCGAACGGGUGAGUAACACGUGGGUGAUCUGCCCUGCACUUCGGGAUAAGCCUGGGAAACUGGGUCUAAUACCGGAUAGGAGCCAUUUUUAGUGUGAUGGUUGGAAAGUUUUUUCGGUGUAGGAUGAGCUCGCGGCCUAUCAGCUUGUUGGUGGGGUAAUGGCCUACCAAGGCGGCGACGGGUAGCCGGCCUGAGAGGGUGGACGGCCACAGUGGGACUGAGAUACGGCCCAGACGCCGACGGGAGGCAGCAGUGGGGAAUAUUGCACAAUGGGCGCAAGCCUGAUGCAGCGACGCCGCGUGGGGGAUGACGGCCUUCGGGUUGUAAACGCCUUUCGCUAGGGACGAAGCUUUUUGUGACGGUACCUAGAGAAGAAGCACCGGCUAACUACGUG
This 465-nucleotide ribosomal RNA is filed under the name uncultured bacterium. Its description in RNAcentral is "partial 16S ribosomal RNA". It matches the Rfam family "Bacterial small subunit ribosomal RNA", at positions 28 to 507 of the family's 1533-position model. The record is from RNAcentral.